Long non-coding RNA from Passer domesticus (house sparrow), 1281 nucleotides. RefSeq lists it as uncharacterized. The transcript is spliced from 3 exons. The record is from RefSeq and is a predicted model, not a curated record. Lineage: Eukaryota; Metazoa; Chordata; Aves; Passeriformes; Passeridae.
CUGCUGACUGAUGCCCAAUCUGAUCACACCUCAUUUCUUUCAGGCACCUUGACAGCCAGGGAAGCAUUACAGAAGCAGGAAAAAUUGUUUUGGUGCAAAAUUGCCUGAAUCAGCAGGGCCAGAGAGCACGAGACAGCUCUGCACCACUGACUGUGGUGGGCAGAUGCAGAACCCACUGAUGGAACCUGCUGAAGAUCUGAGAUGUCACAGACAGUUUGCACACGCUUGCCAAAACCCAGCUUUAUAGCUUGUCUUUUCUUCGGGAAAAGAAGCAUCACUUCUGUACAUUUCAUUCUUACAAAAUACACACUUCCAGUGCUAAGAAAUAAAUCUCUAGCUGAAAAUAGCAGCCUUUGAUCUUUUCAAAUUGAAAUCUCAGAGUGACAAAUUUCUUGGCAAUAAGGAUAAGCAAUGGAUGACAGCCCAGAAGCUUCUGUUUAAAGAGCUUCAGUGGAAAACUACUUUUUUUUUCCUGGAGUCCCCAUUGAGAACAGGGUUUUUUUUAGAAAGCAGUGACAACUAAGCAAACUGGAAUGAAUAAGAAAUUCCCUUUCCUUUGGGUUCACUUCUCACACUUCUGAUAAAACACCAUGUACACACUGAUUUCAAAAAUCUCAUGCUGACAUUUAGGAACUAUUUUCCCGUUCCGAAGGCACACAUGAAUGAGCUCCUGGAAUGUGAACCUCUGCUUGGCUGUUAUCACUUAAGAAGCUGACAUCAGCAAAAGCCGUCUCCUGAGCGAGUGAUCAAGCAGCAAGCCCAACAAAGACUUCUUUAUCCAACGCUAUUAGAGCGCAAUCAAAUUCAAGUUCAAGCAGAGCAGCUGAGAGCCCUGGGAGCUGUCUGGCCUUUUUUUAAAGCACGUGCUGGCACCACUGCUCUCAGCAGCAUGGAACAAACCCAUCAGCACACUCGAACCGGGCAGAACCAGGAGAGGGCUGUCAUUGCGAGCCCACGUGUUAAAUUAUAAACAAAUUCUAAACCAAAUAUUCAAAGCGAUAAGCGACCCACCAGCUCCUGCCGUAUCCGAGCGGUUCAGUGGAAGACAGGUCGUGCAGUAACACCCAGCAAAGAACGCAUCCUUGAGCGUUUUGCUGUCCCUGCUUAUAUAAACCUACAUUGAGUUCUCCAUCUAAACUCAGACCUUUGGAAAAGUGCAGCUACCUCACACCGCUAACAAAUUCUCCCUGUUUUGCAGACGUUCGCCUGUCAAAACAACUUUCUCUCGGGACAUUUCAGCUCCACGCGCUGACAAACCCAGCCCCACGCACUGGCACCGCC